RNAcentral lists this ribosomal RNA (478 nucleotides) under uncultured bacterium. RNAcentral's name for it is "partial 16S ribosomal RNA". It matches the Rfam family "Bacterial small subunit ribosomal RNA", at positions 28 to 507 of the family's 1533-position model. The record is from RNAcentral.
GACGAACGCUGGCGGCGUGCUUAACACAUGCAAGUCGAACGGGCUGCCUGGUUUUCGGAUCGGGUGGUGAGUGGCGAACGGGUGAGUAACACGUGAGUAACCUGCCCCUCUCUUUGGGAUAACGUCGGGAAAUCGGCGCUAAUACCGGGUAUUCUGGCUUCCUCGCAUGGGGUUGUUGGGAAAGGUUUUUUCUGGUGGGGGAUGGGCUCGCGGCCUAUCAGCUUGUUGGUGGGGUGAUGGCCUACCAAGGCGGGGACGGGUAGCCGGCCUGAGAGGGUGUCCGGCCACACUGGGACUGAGACACGGCCCAGACUCCUACGGGAGGCAGCAGUGGGGAAUAUUGCACAAUGGGCGGAAGCCUGAUGCAGCGACGCCGCGUGGGGGAUGACGGCCUUCGGGUUGUAAACCUCUUUCAGUGCAGAACAAGGCUCUUUGUGGGUUGAGGGUAUGCGCAGAAGAAGCGCCGGCUAACUACGUG